This 105-nucleotide transfer RNA is filed under the name Malassezia restricta. RNAcentral describes it as "tRNA-Met". It matches the Rfam family "tRNA". From Rfam's summary of the family: Transfer RNA (tRNA) molecules are approximately 80 nucleotides in length. Lineage: Eukaryota; Fungi; Basidiomycota; Malasseziomycetes; Malasseziales; Malasseziaceae. The record is from RNAcentral.
UGUCUCGUUGGUGUAGUUGGUUAUCACGUCGGUCUCAUAAUAUGAUCGCGCCUGGCGCGAAUAGUUGAUAUCUGGAGGUCGCCAGUUCGAUCCUGGCACGGGACA